RNAcentral lists this ribosomal RNA (506 nucleotides) under uncultured bacterium. Its description in RNAcentral is "partial 16S ribosomal RNA". It matches the Rfam family "Bacterial small subunit ribosomal RNA", at positions 29 to 523 of the family's 1533-position model. The record is from RNAcentral.
AGUGAACGCUGGCGGUAGGCCUAACACAUGCAAGUCGAACGGCAGCACAAGAGAGCUUGCUCUCUGGGUGGCGAGUGGCGGACGGGUGAGGAAUACAUCGGAAUCUACUCUGUCGUGGGGGAUAACGGAGGGAAACUUACGCUAAUACCGCAUACGACCUACGGGUGAAAGCAGGGGAUCUUCGGACCUUGCGCGAUUGAAUGAGCCGAUGUCGGAUUAGCUAGUUGGCGGGGUAAAGGCCCACCAAGGCGACGAUCCGUAGCUGGUCUGAGAGGAUGAUCAGCCACACUGGAACUGAGACACGGUCCAGACUCCUACGGGAGGCAGCAGUGGGGAAUAUUGGACAAUGGGCGCAAGCCUGAUCCAGCCAUACCGCGUGGGUGAAGAAGGCCUUCGGGUUGUAAAGCCCUUUUGUUGGGAAAGAAAUCCAGCUGGCUAAUACCCGGUUGGGAUGACGGUACCCAAAGAAUAAGCACCGGCUAACUUCGUGCCAGCCGCCGCCGUAA